RNAcentral lists this unclassified non-coding RNA (334 nucleotides) under soil metagenome. RNAcentral's name for it is "partial contains 5.8S ribosomal RNA, internal transcribed spacer 2, and large subunit ribosomal RNA". The stretch from base 1 to 120 matches the Rfam family "5.8S ribosomal RNA", at positions 35 to 154 of the family's 154-position model. The record is from RNAcentral.
GAUGAAGAACGCAGCGAAAUGCGAUAGGUAAUGUGAAUUGCAGAAUUCAGUGAAUCAUCGAAUCUUUGAACGCACAUUGCGCCCGCCAGUAUUCUGGCGAGCAUGCCUGUUCGAGCGUCAUUUCAACCAUCAAGCCCCAGGCUUGUGUUGGAGCCCUGCGGCUGCCGCAGCCUCCCAAAACCAGUGGCGGGCUCGCUAUCACACCGAGUGCAGUAGUUUACUCUUCGCUCAGGGCGUGUGGCGGGUGCUAGCCGUGAAACCCCCAACUUCUCAAGGUUGACCUCGGAUCAGGUAGGAAUACCCGCUGAACUUAAGCAUAUCAAUAAGCGGAGGA